AUGAGAAGUUUCAACGGAGAAAGUUGUCUCGCGGCGGGGUGUGUCGGCCGAUUUGAGGAGCACCGCGGAUCUGUAGGAUAUCAGAAUCGCCAGUCACGGAGUUGUAGUCGACCGGUGAUUGUCAUGGUGAUGGUUGCGACAAUUUUGGACGCUGGUAGUGUUCGACGAAAGCGAGAGCAGCAACAAUUUGUGAACCUUGGUUUGUUGGCUUCUUGGCGGCUUAAUUUGGAGAGGGAUUGA
Non-coding RNA from Vicia faba (fava bean), 240 nucleotides. The record is from the annotation of a GenBank genome assembly. Lineage: Eukaryota; Viridiplantae; Streptophyta; Magnoliopsida; Fabales; Fabaceae.